GGAGUCAACCAAGCAAUCGCCGGUGCCAAUUGGCGCGGGAGGAAAGUCCGGGCACUACAGGACACGGUGCCAGGUAACGCCUGGGGAGCGUAAGCUCACGGCUAGUGCAACAGAAAAUACACCGCUCGAUUCUUUGAGUAAGGGUGAAAUGGUGCGGUAAGAGCGCACCGCGAGACUGGUAACAGGAUCGGCAAGGUAAACCCCACCGAGUGCAAGGCUGAAUAGGAACCAACGGCGUGGUCCGCGUCGGUUCGGGUAAGCUGCUAAUGGAAGUGUACGGCGACGUGCGCUCUAGAUGAAUGAUUGCUCUCGACAGAACCCGGCUUAUCGGUUGACUCCCUAU
RNAcentral lists this RNase P RNA (343 nucleotides) under Gammaproteobacteria bacterium. RNAcentral describes it as "RNase P RNA component class A". It matches the Rfam family "Bacterial RNase P class A". Rfam says of the family: Ribonuclease P (RNase P) is a ubiquitous endoribonuclease, found in archaea, bacteria and eukarya as well as chloroplasts and mitochondria. Its best characterised activity is the generation of mature 5'-ends of tRNAs by cleaving the 5'-leader elements of precursor-tRNAs. Lineage: Bacteria; Pseudomonadati; Pseudomonadota; Gammaproteobacteria. The record is from RNAcentral.